AGGUCUCAAACUAAAGGUAUUUGGAUAGGUACAUGUGCUGAAAUUGAGCCUUCUGCACUGGGUUUGGAGGAUAUUGAUGGAAGACAAAGAGGAGAGGAUGAUCUGCAUUUGAGAAGCACAAUGCCCUUUUUUCUCUUGCUAUAUGGUGUAUGUCAGAUGUUGUCCUUAUAAACAUUUUAUAAUGCGGUUGUGCAGUCCGUGUAAAACAAGGACACCACUGGAAAAUAUAGAACCUGUUCUGGGGGAAGAUAUUCAGAAGGUUGAGGUUACAGCUCGUAACAGUUAUGAGUAAAAGGAAGAGCAAUUCAAGGAACAGGUGGCUGCUCGUAGCCAGCGAUUCUACCAUUCUAUUGCUCCUGGUGGACUUGGUGGAGAUCGAAGGGCUGUUCCUGCAUCAGGGUUUUCUUUUUGUGCAUAACAAAUAUGGAAAAUUAUCAAGGAGAACAAGGAUUUGACCUUCCUGCUCACAAGCUAGUCCAAUCUGCAUAUCCUGACAGACGCGGGUUUAAAACAUGGGAGGGCUAUUGUGGUGUCAACAUGUGCUGCUGUCGCAUCCAUUGUGACUGGUGUACUUGCUGGCAUGUUCGCUUUAGGUGAACAAUUGCCUUCAGCUCCAGCUGCUCGCCUUCUCCUUUUGCUUGGAUGGGUAUGCAUCAUCUUUGCUGUGAUUCUACUGGUGAGUUCAAGAAGGUUGAUUCAGCACCUUCCACGGACCCUCCGACGUCUUGUACGCAGUAGCACAGAGAGGAGUAACAACCUCCGACGCUCAAGUUCAGUGCGAACAAGAGAGUCAAAUCCAAGUGCUGUCAUCCAAGCAACCACACUGCAUCAUCUGUUAACGACGACUACUGCAAAGGAGAAGGCCUGAAAAAGAAGUGACUGAAUUGCAAAUUGCAACAAAGGUACGAUUAAAUGUCAACGUAUUUUGGUUAUGACUUAGGGUUGCCAAUAGGAAUGUGAACAAGUAGAUAUCUAAUUCGGUGUACCCUUCGAGAAGAAACAGAUCCAAAACAAAGGCUGAUUGAUUUUGUUGAGCGUGUACAGCAUUAUCAUUCCUAAUAGAUGAUUUAUUUUUGAUCAUGAUAAAUUUCUCUUUGUUUUGGUUUCCUCGGUACUGAUUUGGUAUUGUGUGUUUGGAUUUAUUGUAAGAAACCAGAGAAAUUUGAGCAUACACAAUAUGA
Long non-coding RNA from Papaver somniferum (opium poppy), 1181 nucleotides. RefSeq lists it as uncharacterized. Lineage: Eukaryota; Viridiplantae; Streptophyta; Magnoliopsida; Ranunculales; Papaveraceae. The record is from RefSeq and is a predicted model, not a curated record. The transcript has 8 exons.